RNAcentral lists this unclassified non-coding RNA (325 nucleotides) under soil metagenome. RNAcentral's name for it is "partial contains 5.8S ribosomal RNA, internal transcribed spacer 2, and large subunit ribosomal RNA". The stretch from base 1 to 119 matches the Rfam family "5.8S ribosomal RNA", at positions 36 to 154 of the family's 154-position model. The record is from RNAcentral.
AUGAAGAACGUAGCGAAAUGCGAUAAGUAAUGUGAAUUGCAGAAUUCAGUGAAUCAUCGAAUCUUUGAACGCACAUUGCGCCCCUUGGUAUUCCGAGGGGCAUGCCUGUUCGAGCGUCAUAUUAACCACUCCCGCUUGCGGGGUCUUGGGCUUCGCCUCCGGGCGGGCCUUAAAAUCAGUGGCGGUGCCGUCGGGCUCUACGCGUAGUAAAUUUUCUCGCGAUAGGGUCCCGGUGGAUGCUUGCCAACAACCCCCAACUUCUUAAGGUUGACCUCGGAUCAGGUAGGGAUACCCGCUGAACUUAAGCAUAUCAAUAAGCGGAGGA